RNAcentral lists this long non-coding RNA (237 nucleotides) under Lathyrus oleraceus (garden pea). RNAcentral describes it as "Pisum sativum (pea) long non-coding RNA (PSAT_LNC025877)". Lineage: Eukaryota; Viridiplantae; Streptophyta; Magnoliopsida; Fabales; Fabaceae. The record is from RNAcentral.
AAAAAAUAAAUUAAAGGGGAAAAUUAACAAAAAGGGGUACAACAAUAAUAUGGUGGUUAAUAUAUAAAAUAAAAUGCAAUGGGCUCCAAGCCCAAAAAUUAAAUGGACUAAAAUAAAAAAUAAAGGGGUGCAAAAAAAAAGAAAAGGGAUGUGACCUAGUAAUAGGAGAAAGGCCUAAAGUGGAAGUCCCAUGAUCCAAACAAGAGGGAAAAAUUCUGAGACACAUGUGGUCAUCUG